GCCUGGGUGGCUCAGUUGGUUGAGCGCCUGACUUCGGCUCAGGUCACUCUCUCACAGCCCAUGAGUUCGAGCCCCGCUUCGGGCU
RNAcentral lists this transfer RNA (85 nucleotides) under Felis catus (domestic cat). It matches the Rfam family "tRNA". From Rfam's summary of the family: Transfer RNA (tRNA) molecules are approximately 80 nucleotides in length. Their secondary structure includes four short double-helical elements and three loops (D, anti-codon, and T loops). The record is from Rfam by way of RNAcentral. Lineage: Eukaryota; Metazoa; Chordata; Mammalia; Carnivora; Felidae.